This 484-nucleotide ribosomal RNA is filed under the name uncultured bacterium. RNAcentral's name for it is "bacterial SSU rRNA". It matches the Rfam family "Bacterial small subunit ribosomal RNA", at positions 9 to 482 of the family's 1533-position model. The record is from RNAcentral.
GAGUUUGAUCCUGGCUCAGGAUGAACGCUAGCUACAGGCUUAACACAUGCAAGUCGAGGGGCAGCAUGGUCUUAGCUUGCUAAGGCCGAUGGCGACCGGCGCACGGGUGAGUAACACGUAUCCAACCUGCCGUCUACUCUUGGACAGCCUUCUGAAAGGAAGAUUAAUACAAGAUGGCAUCAUGAGUCCGCAUGUUCACAUGAUUAAAGGUAUUCCGGUAGACGAUGGGGAUGCGUUCCAUUAGAUAGUAGGCGGGGUAACGGCCCACCUAGUCUUCGAUGGAUAGGGGUUCUGAGAGGAAGGUCCCCCACAUUGGAACUGAGACACGGUCCAAACUCCUACGGGAGGCAGCAGUGAGGAAUAUUGGUCAAUGGGCGAGAGCCUGAACCAGCCAAGUAGCGUGAAGGAUGACUGCCCUAUGGGUUGUAAACUUCUUUUAUAAAGGAAUAAAGUCGGGUAUGGAUACCCGUUUGCAUGUACUUUA